RNAcentral lists this ribosomal RNA (382 nucleotides) under uncultured eukaryote. RNAcentral's name for it is "partial 18S ribosomal RNA". It matches the Rfam family "Eukaryotic small subunit ribosomal RNA", at positions 592 to 977 of the family's 1831-position model. The record is from RNAcentral.
CAAUAGCGUAUAUUAAAGUUGUUGCGGUAAAAAAGCUCGUAGUUGGAUUUCUACCGAAGAUAGCCGGUCGGGUCUUCGACCUUGUAUCUGGUUUUGUCUUUGGUAUCCUCAUAGGGAACGUUUCUGCGCUUUAUUGCGUGGUGCGGUAUCUAUGACUUUUACUUUGAGGAAAUUAGAGUGUUCACGGCAGGCAAACGCCUUGAAUAUAUUAGCAUGGAAUAAUAACAUAGGAUCUUCGUCCUAUUUUGUUGGUUUCUAGGGCUAAGAUAAUGAUUAAUAGGGAUAAUUAGGGGCAUCUGUAUCAACGCGUCAGAGGUGGAAUUCUUGGAUUGCGUUGCGACAAACUACUGCGAAAGCAUUUGCCAAGGAUGUUUUCAUUGAC